This is a long non-coding RNA of Calidris pugnax (ruff), 317 nucleotides long. RefSeq lists it as uncharacterized. The transcript is spliced from 3 exons. Lineage: Eukaryota; Metazoa; Chordata; Aves; Charadriiformes; Scolopacidae. The record is from RefSeq and is a predicted model, not a curated record.
GUCGUACAACAAGAGGAUGUUCAAACAAGAACCAAAGUAUCGGAAAACAAAAAUCAGAAGAAUUUUGUGAUAGAGUGAAUUUGGGUCACGGCGCGGUAGCGUUCAGUCCUCUCGCCGAAUCACUUGCCGAACAUGUGGUAGUGUUUUGCGACACGGUCUGUGAACUGGGAAAGAGGUCUUAAAAUUUCCUCCUCCGCAAGACAGGAAGAGCAGACACAGCCCUGGACUUCCUCUCCCAGAUCCUUCCUGACCAAGAUGCCCUUCUCCAAGGGAGGAGCCGUGACCUUCAAAGGCCAUGUCCUGGCACAUCAGGACGU